This 439-nucleotide ribosomal RNA is filed under the name uncultured bacterium. Its description in RNAcentral is "partial 16S ribosomal RNA". It matches the Rfam family "Bacterial small subunit ribosomal RNA", at positions 338 to 795 of the family's 1533-position model. The record is from RNAcentral.
CCUACGGGAGGCAGCAGUGGGGGAUAUUGCACAAUGGAGGAAACUCUGAUGCAGCGACGCCGCGUGAGGGAAGACGGUCUUCGGAUUGUAAACCUCUGUCUUUGGGGAAGAAAAUGACGGUACCCAAAGAGGAAGCUCCGGCUAACUACGUGCCAGCAGCCGCGGUAAUACGUAGGGAGCGAGAGUUGUCCGGAAUUACUGGGUGUAAAGGGAGCGUAGGCGGGCGGGAAAGUUGAAUGUUAAAUCUACCGGCUUAAAUGGUCGCUGCGUUCAAAACUUCUUGUCUUGGGUGAAGUAGAGGCAGGGGGAAUUGCUAGUGUAGCGGUGAAAUGCGUAGAUAUUAGGAGGGAAACCAGUGGCGGAGGGGGCCUGGUGGGCUUUAACUGACGCUGAGGCUCGAAAGCGUGGGGAGCAAACAGGAUUAGAUACCCGGGUAGUC